GAUGAACGCUAGCUACAGGCUUAACACAUGCAAGUCGAGGGGCAGCAUGGUCUUAGCUUGCUAAGACUGAUGGCGACCGGCGCACGGGUGAGUAACACGUAUCCAACCUGCCGUCUACUCUUGGACAGCCUUCUGAAAGGAAGAUUAAUACAAGAUGGCAUCAUGAGUCCGCAUGUUCACAUGAUUAAAGGUAUUCCGGUAGACGAUGGGGAUGCGUUCCAUUAGAUAGUAGGCGGGGUAACGGCCCACCUAGUCUUCGAUGGAUAGGGGUUCUGAGAGGAAGGUCCCCCACAUUGGAACUGAGACACGGUCCAAACUCCUACGGGAGCAGCAGUGAGGAAUAUUGGUCAAUGGGCGAGAGCCUGAACCAGCCAAGUAGCGUGAAGGAUGACUGCCCUAUGGGUUGUAAACUUCUUUAUAAGGAAUAAAGUCGGGUAUGUAUACCCGUUUGCAUGUACUUUAUGAAUAAGGAUCGGCUAACUCCGUGCCAG
Molecule: ribosomal RNA, 491 nt
Filed under: uncultured bacterium
Lineage: Bacteria
Description: bacterial SSU rRNA
Rfam family: Bacterial small subunit ribosomal RNA
Source: RNAcentral